GACGAACGCUGGCGGCGUGCUUAACACAUGCAAGUCGAACGGAAAGGCCCUGCUUUUGUGGGGUGCUCGAGUGGCGAACGGGUGAGUAACACGUGAGUAACCUGCCCUUGACUUUGGGAUAACUUCAGGAAACUGGGGCUAAUACCGGAUAGGAGCUCCUGCUGCAUGGUGGGGGUUGGAAAGUUUCGGCGGUUGGGGAUGGACUCGCGGCUUAUCAGCUUGUUGGUGGGGUAGUGGCUUACCAAGGCUUUGACGGGUAGCCGGCCUGAGAGGGUUACCGGCCACAUUGGGACUGAGAUACGGACCAGAAUCCAACGGGAGGCAGAAGUGGGGAAUAUGACACAAUAGGGGGAAGCCUGAUGCAGCAACGCCGCGUGCGGAAUGACGGCCUUCGGGUUAUAAACCGCUUUCGCCUGUGACGAAGAGUGAGUGACGGUAAUGGGUAAAGAAGCACCGGCUAACUACGUG
RNAcentral lists this ribosomal RNA (468 nucleotides) under uncultured bacterium. RNAcentral describes it as "partial 16S ribosomal RNA". It matches the Rfam family "Bacterial small subunit ribosomal RNA", at positions 28 to 507 of the family's 1533-position model. The record is from RNAcentral.